AUUGAACGCUGGCGGAAUGCUUUACACAUGCAAGUCGAACGGCAGCACGGACUUCGGUCUGGUGGCGAGUGGCGAACGGGUGAGUAAUGUAUCGGAACGUGCCCAGUCGUGGGGGAUAACGUAGUGAAAAUUACGCUAAUACCGCAUACGAUCUAUGGAUGAAAGCGGGGGAUCGCAAGACCUCGCGCGAUUGGAGCGGCCGAUAUCAGAUUAGGUAGUUGGUGGGGUAAAGGCCCACCAAGCCAACGAUCUGUAGCUGGUCUGAGUGGACGACCAUCCACACUGGAAAUGAGACACGGUCCAGACUCCUACGGGAAGCAGCAGUGGGGAAUUUUGGACAAUGGGCGAAAGCCUGAUCCAGCCAUUCCGCGUGCAGGAUGAAGGCCCUCGGGUUGUAAACUGCUUUUGUACAGAACGAAAAGGUUUCUACUAAUACUAGGAGCUCAUGACGGUACUGUAAGAAUAAGCACCGGCUAACUACGUGCCAGCCGCCGCGGUAA
This 500-nucleotide ribosomal RNA is filed under the name uncultured bacterium. RNAcentral describes it as "partial 16S ribosomal RNA". It matches the Rfam family "Bacterial small subunit ribosomal RNA", at positions 30 to 523 of the family's 1533-position model. The record is from RNAcentral.